This 314-nucleotide unclassified non-coding RNA is filed under the name plant metagenome. RNAcentral describes it as "partial contains 5.8S ribosomal RNA, internal transcribed spacer 2, and large subunit ribosomal RNA". The stretch from base 1 to 105 matches the Rfam family "5.8S ribosomal RNA", at positions 50 to 154 of the family's 154-position model. The record is from RNAcentral.
GAAAUGCGAUAAGUAAUGUGAAUUGCAGAAUUCAGUGAAUCAUCGAGUCUUUGAACGCACAUUGUGCCCCCUGGUAUUCCGGGGGGCAUGCCUGUCCGAGCGUCAUUGCUGCCCUCAAGCACGGCUUGUGUGUUGGGCUUCCGUCCCUGGCAACGGGGACGGGCCCAAAAGGCAGUGGCGGCACCAUGUCUGGUCCUCGAGCGUAUGGGGCUUUGUCACCCGCUCCCGUAGGUCCAGCUGGCAGCUAGCCUCGCAACCAAUCUUUUUAACCAGGUUGACCUCGGAUCAGGUAGGGAUACCCGCUGAACUUAAGC